RNAcentral lists this small RNA (83 nucleotides) under Marmota monax (woodchuck). Lineage: Eukaryota; Metazoa; Chordata; Mammalia; Rodentia; Sciuridae. The record is from RNAcentral.
GUUGGGUGUGGUGGUGCACACCUGUAAUCCCAGCAACUUGGGAGACUGAGGCAAGAGGAUUGGGAGUUCUAAGCCAGCCUCAG